AUUCUCUCAUAUCUAUGACGGUUGGGUCGAGCAUAUGUGAGAUAGAGGGGCAAGUCACCGACAACAACAUUACAUGUAUCCUUCCGCCGCUACCGUCGGGGCAAUACCCGGUACUACUUCACGUGGAUAACAUUGGGUACGCUUAUAGCAGCGCGCCUUUGGUGAUAGAAUACAUCUUCAGGGUGGACAACAUUGACCCUUUGGAAGGCUCCUUGGCAGGUGGAACUGUACUAAACAUAACCGGCGAAGGGUUCCCAACAAACGUGUCUGCAGUUGAUGUGAAAGUCGGGCCUGUGUCGUGCGACGUUCGGGAGAUAUCUGAGAACAUACUGGUGUGUGUAACUCAACCG
Long non-coding RNA from Branchiostoma belcheri (Belcher's lancelet), 350 nucleotides. RefSeq lists it as uncharacterized. The record is from RefSeq and is a predicted model, not a curated record. Lineage: Eukaryota; Metazoa; Chordata; Leptocardii; Amphioxiformes; Branchiostomatidae. The transcript has 3 exons.